RNAcentral lists this ribosomal RNA (460 nucleotides) under uncultured bacterium. RNAcentral describes it as "partial 16S ribosomal RNA". It matches the Rfam family "Bacterial small subunit ribosomal RNA", at positions 338 to 795 of the family's 1533-position model. The record is from RNAcentral.
CCUACGGGUGUCAGCAGUGAGGAAUAUUGGUCAAUGGGCGCGAGCCUGAACCAGCCAAGUAGCGUGAAGGAUGACUGCCCUACGGGCUGUAAACUUCUUAUAUAAAGGAAUAAAGUGAGGCAUGUGUGCAUUUUUGUAUGGACUUUAUGAAUAAGGAUCGGCUAACUCAGUGCCAGCAGCCGCGGUAAUACGGAGGAUCCGAGCGUUAUCAGGAUUUAUGGGGUUUAAAGGGAGCGUAGAUGGGUGGUUAAGUCAGUUGUGAAAGUUUGCGGCUCAACCGUAAAAUUGCAAUUGAUACUGGCAGCCUUGAGUACAGUUGAGGUAGGCGGAAUUCGUGGUGUAGCGGUGAAAUGCUUAGAUAUCACGAAGAACUCCGAUUGCGAAGGCAGCUUACUAAACUGCCACUGACAUUGAUGCUCGAAAGUGUGGGUAUCAAACAGGAUUAGAUACCCUUGUAGUC